RNAcentral lists this ribosomal RNA (115 nucleotides) under Lucidina vitalisi. RNAcentral's name for it is "partial 16S ribosomal RNA". Lineage: Eukaryota; Metazoa; Arthropoda; Insecta; Coleoptera; Lampyridae. The record is from RNAcentral.
AAAGUUUUAAAAGUCGAACAGACUUAAAUAUAAGACUUCUGCACCUUAUUUUUCCUUUAAUCCAACAUCGAGGUCGCAACCUUCUUUUUUGAUAAGAACUCUAAAAGAAAUUACG